This 251-nucleotide ribosomal RNA is filed under the name uncultured bacterium. RNAcentral describes it as "partial 16S ribosomal RNA". It matches the Rfam family "Bacterial small subunit ribosomal RNA", at positions 8 to 253 of the family's 1533-position model. The record is from RNAcentral.
AGAGUUUGAUCCUGGCUCAGGAUGAACGCUAGCGGCAGGCUUAACACAUGCAAGUCGAGGGGCAGCGGGGUGUAGCAAUACACUGCCGGCGACCGGCGCACGGGUGCGUAACGCGUAUGCAACCUACCCAUAACAGGGGCAUAACACUGAGAAAUUGGUACCUAAUUCCCCAUAACAUUCGAAGAGGCAUCUCUUUGGGUUGAAAACUCCGGUGGUUAUGGUAUGGGCAUGCGUUGUAUUAGCUAGUUGGG